UACGUAGGUGACCAGCGUUGUCCGGAUUUACUGGGCGUAAAGAGCGCGCAGGCGGUCGUUCAAGUCGAGUGUGAAAGCCCCCGGCUCAACUGGGGAGGGUCAUUCGAUACUGAUCGACUUGAAGGCAGGAGAGGGAAGCGGAAUUCCCGGUGUAGUGGUGAAAUGCGUAGAUAUCGGGAGGAACACCAGUGGCGAAGGCGGCUUCCUGGCCUGUUCUUGACGCUGGAGGCGCGAAACUAGGGGAGCAAAGCGGGAUUAGAACCCAUGGUAGUCCAAGAACCGAUGUACUCUGCUACCAAGUCA
This 303-nucleotide ribosomal RNA is filed under the name uncultured bacterium. RNAcentral describes it as "partial 16S ribosomal RNA". It matches the Rfam family "Bacterial small subunit ribosomal RNA", at positions 524 to 829 of the family's 1533-position model. The record is from RNAcentral.